Lactuca sativa (garden lettuce) is the source of this 736-nucleotide non-coding RNA. NCBI's taxonomy places the organism in Eukaryota, Viridiplantae, Streptophyta, Magnoliopsida, Asterales, Asteraceae. The record is from RefSeq and is a predicted model, not a curated record.
AUCUGCAAAAACAUAUUAUUAUUAUAUUCUCAUAAUCUCUACGUUUUCUUUUCUUUUUUACCAAUGAAUUUGUAAUGACUAAUGAUUUAUGAUUAUACCUCCAGUUGUUCGUGUAGCCUUUUUUGAACUUCCACCUGUAAUCGUAAUGCUUCCGUCAUCUCCAAACUCCUGUUGUAAAGCAAAAAAGAAGACAUUUUGAAGAAAUGGGACUAAAAGCGUUAAAGAAAGAAACUUUUGGAAUUAAAAGAUUAAAAGAGAAGAAAAUCUGGAAAAAAAACGUUCUCACGACGUGAGACUUAAAGAAUUCACGACAUGAAGAGUUGGUUCUAGAAGAUAUGUACGCGGGUGAAGGAAUCCUUGACGGGCAAGGUUAUCUGAAAUUCACAACGUGAAUAUCUUAUUAUUCACGACGUGAAUUUGUGAAAAUCAGCAACUAUAUAAAUCCUUGACCAUUACGAAUAGAGGGAACUUUUUGCAAGAGAGAGGAGUUCCAGAAGACGAUUUUGAGCAGUGAAAAGUUCUGGGAAAAGGCUUUCAACACCAAAAGAGUGAAGGUCCAUAUUUAGAUUAUUUAAUUGAUAAUUAGGAACAUGUUUUAUAUCACUUUGAUUUGUGUUAGUAUGUUAGUUGCUAUGAUGAGCAGCUGAAUCUAGCUACUCUUGUUUAGCUAGAUGAAGCUUUUAACUUAUGAAUAGCUCAAUUUUAUGGAUUUAUUUAGUUGGUAAAAUUGCUUGUG